UACACUAACCAAUUUUACCAUUAAAAUUUUAAUAGGCAAAAUACCAUUAUACCCCUAACUAAUUAAACCUAAAACUAUUCUUUUCUUCCCCAAGAUUUCUUCAAAUCUCAGAUCCAAAAUGAACGAUACCAGUAAUCAAAUCCGACGAAUCAGACGAUGUUGACGAGUUCUCCGGCGCUGAGGAGUUCUCCGGCAAAAUUUCUGACUAGUUGUACAGCGAGAUCCGACGAUGCUGAUGAGCUCAAACGAACAAGACGAGUUCUCGGCGAGAUUUACGAACACUGAAGAGUUUCCGACGAGAUCUGACGACGAGUUUUCCGGCGAGAUCUAACGAUAACGAGUUCUCCGAAAAGCUGACAGACUCUACAAGCUUAGACGAACGAGACGAUCUCUUUCCCUACGUCUAAGAAACGCUAACAAAGGGAAUUACAAAGGUGUGCUGUGAGCUUUUGGAUUUAUAGGAUGCUGUGGAGAAUAUGUAUGGUGAUAUGCAUAUCAAGUACCUCACUUUCUUGAGAUUUUGAAGAUCGACGAGGUUGGUGAGCUGUUUGAAGAAGCAAGAGGGACUCUGAACAAGAACGUGGUUUGUGCGAUCAAAGAAUUACAUAUUUAUAACGCUUUAUAAAAGUUGCAGAGUUGGCUUGUUAAUACAUUCUUCUCUCUCAUCUUCUUCAGACAUCUCUUAAUUAGGAUGCUGUCGCGUCCAAGGGCUCAGACAGUACUUGUAGAUGGAGCUCUUAGGGAGGGCGAACUGCUGAUUCCACUUCCUUCACUUGAGAUCUUGGUGCUUCUCACAUUCUGUUCUCCAUCCACAGGAGUUAAGGUAAGUAGUAGUAUUUAUAAAACUAAACCAUGAAAUGAGCUUGUUUGAUUAUGAUCACAAGCAUGGUCGCUGUACAGUCUACAGAGAGGGUUGAAGCAGUAUAUCCCUUGCUGAAGGACGUGGCUCUUUCACCAGAUAUGUCUUUUUGUGUUGAUUAUCUUUUUGAGGGACUUUAGAAAAAUUAACCUGUAAGCCAUUAUAAAUCAGUUUAUAAACGUUUAUAAAUCAUUUUUGAGUUCUUUAUACUUAUUCUGCCUAGCAUUCCUCACAAGACUUCUCAAGUUCACACAUUUAUAUGUUUUUAUAGACAUAUCCGAUCAACUCUUGUUUAAAAACUUCUUUAUAAAGACUUAUAAAUCGUCAAGUUGUACUUUUAACAAUAUCUUGAAAUCCAGAUUUAUAAAGAAUUAUAAUUCUGUAAAAAUGCAGUGUUCACUAACCGAAAAUAUUAAUCUUAACCAUAAUUAUUCAAAUAACAAGUCCAACUAAGCCUUAUUUGCUUUUUGGAUAACAGAAGGAAGCAAAUCCUAAAAUUACUUGAAAUCUUAUUUAAAAUUUUUUUAUAAAGACUUAUAAAUCGUCGAGUAGUACUUUUGAUAAUUUCCUGAAAUCCAGAUUUAUAUUUUAUAAACGUCUAAAAAAUUGGAACAAAUUUAAGUUUUAGUAAAUAACUGCAUGAUUAGUGUUGUAGAGAGAAACUCAAACACAUUCUAAGACUGAAUUGAACAACAUUAAAGAGUUGACGAAGUCGGUUGUUUAGAACAUAUUCAUAUAAAUUGUUUUUAUAAAUAUUUUAUAAACUCUUAUAAAUUAUUUACAUACCUUUAUAAAUCCUAGAAAAUUAUUUUAUUAACUCUUAUAACUUGUUUAAUAAGCUUUUUCAAAUGGUUAUAGACUCUUAUAAUUGAUUUAAGAUCUCUAAUUGAUUUCAAAACCUGUAUAUACCUCUAUAAACCUUAUAAAUUAUAUACAUACCCCUUAUAAAUGAUUUAUAAACUUUUAUAAUUUUUGUAAUAAACAUUUAUAAAUAGUUUAUAUACUUUAUAAAUUGUUUUAUAAGCCUUUAUAGAUGGUUUAUAGACUCUUACAAAUAAUUUGUAAACCUUUAUAAAAGGUUUAUAAUAUUUAUAAAUUGUUUUUAAUAAAAUUUUAUAAAUGAUUUAUAAACUCUUAUUAAUUAUUUAUAUAUCCUUAUAAAGAUUAUUUUACAAGUCUUUAUAAAUUGUUAUAGCCUUUUAUAAAUAAUUUCAGAGACUUUCUAAGUGAUUCAAAAACCAAUAAACCUUAUAAAUUGUAUGCAUAUCCCUUAUAAAUUGUUUAUAAACUUUCAUAACAUUUUUAUAAACAAUUAUAAAUGGUUUAUAGAUUUUAUUAAUAGUUUUAUAAACCUUUAUAAAAAGAUUAUAAACUUUACAAAUUGUUUUAUAAACUUUUAUAAAUGAUUUAUAAACUCUUAUUUGCUCUUUAUCAUUCCUUUGCUCUUCAUUUUUAUCUUCUUUCAUGUGUUAUUGCCUUAUAUCAUACGUUACAAAAUGUAAAUUCACAAAUCCUUGUUCCCAUUAGCUUUUCUUCAUUUUAUAUCCUUGUUGAACUGUUAAGAUCCAUGUUAUCAAGAUCAGGAGGUGUUGGGUUCAUGAAAUGUUUGUAUUCCUCAGGGAAUCCAAACACUGUAUUAACCACAAGAUGUAACAAAGAAUAAACAACGUUUUAUAAGUCUCUACUUAUAAUUUUAUAAACUCCUAUAAAACUACAUUUAUAAUCUUUUAUAAACACUUCACAUUAUUGACAAAGACACCGAUUGGAUAAUCACUUUUAAAUUGUCUACUGGUUCUGUUCCAGCUUCAUAAAUCCUCAGAGGCAAUCUCAAAGAUGUGCAAUUCAUUGCUAUCUAACUGUAAGACAAAAUAAAAAGAUGAUGUUAACUUUUAAUCACGGUCUAAAAAUACCUUAUCCAAUCAUAAUGUUCAUGUAUUUCGAUAACAGCCUUACAAAGAAUAUAUAAUAAUAAAAUACGA
Molecule: long non-coding RNA, 2838 nt
Organism: Brassica napus (rape)
Lineage: Eukaryota; Viridiplantae; Streptophyta; Magnoliopsida; Brassicales; Brassicaceae
Exons: 3
Source: RefSeq, a predicted model, not a curated record